Molecule: transfer RNA, 71 nt
Filed under: Cyrtodactylus lekaguli
Lineage: Eukaryota; Metazoa; Chordata; Lepidosauria; Squamata; Gekkonidae
Description: tRNA-Trp
Source: RNAcentral
AGAAGUUUAGGUUAGACAAACCAAGAGCCUUCAAAGCCCUAAACAAGAGAUAUCAACCCUCCUAACUUCUG